AGUGAACGCUGGCGGUAGGCCUAACACAUGCAAGUCGAACGGCAGCACAGUAAGAGCUUGCUCUUACGGGUGGCGAGUGGCGGACGGGUGAGGAAUACAUCGGAAUCUACUUUUUCGUGGGGGAUAACGUAGGGAAACUUACGCUAAUACCGCAUACGACCUACGGGUGAAAGCAGGGGAUCUUCGGACCUUGCGCGAUUGAAUGAGCCGAUGUCGGAUUAGCUAGUUGGCGGGGUAAAGGCCCACCAAGGCGCCGAUCCGUAGCUGGUCUGAGAGGAUGAUCAGCCACACUGGAACGGAGACACGGUCCAGACUCCUACGGGAGGCAGCAGUGGGGAAUAUUGGACAAUGGGCGCAAGCCUGAUCCAGCCAUACCGCGUGGGUGAAGAAGGCCUUCGGGUUGUAAAGCCCUUUUGUUGGGAAAGAAAAGCAGCAGGUUAAUACCCCGCUGUUCUGACGGUACCCAAAGAAUAAGCACCGGCUAACUUCGUG
This 492-nucleotide ribosomal RNA is filed under the name uncultured bacterium. Its description in RNAcentral is "partial 16S ribosomal RNA". It matches the Rfam family "Bacterial small subunit ribosomal RNA", at positions 29 to 507 of the family's 1533-position model. The record is from RNAcentral.